AAAGCAUUGUGCGUUGACGAGUGUGCGACCCCUUUCUCUCCCAUGUACUUUUUUAUAUACCCUUUGGCCUUGCCUAUCUCCUUGGAUAUUUUAUUGGAUGCAGCAGCUCAUUUAAGUGCAUAUCUACAACUCUUAGACAAGCAGGAGCUUGCUCUUGGUACCAUUUAGCUUGAACAGCUACACAUCCAUACAUGCUUCUUGCAUACAUGAACCCCUCUGGCUCUGCUGUGAAGAUGCUGCUGAAGUUUCAUCAUAUCCAGGAGUCUUCCGCAGUCAUUUCUGUCAAGUUUUUCCAGCUGGGCUGUGGAUUAGAAAAACGGGAGUGCAACCUUCUCCUGACGGACUGUACUAGACAACUUGGUUCAAAUAUUCCUCCCUUUUAAUUGCUCCCCACCCUUCUACACCUCCUCCUGCUCUUCCUCCCUGUUGAUGAGUGUGCUGGCUUCUUUUCCUGGUCUUGGCACGAUCGCCAUAGAAGAACACCAGCAUGACAGUAUUAUGCCCAUGAAACCUUAUUUCUGGAAUUAGGCAUGUCUAACCUGCCAAGCUACCUAUUAAAAAUUUUCAACAUGUCCA
This is a long non-coding RNA of Scatophagus argus, 576 nucleotides long. RefSeq lists it as uncharacterized. Lineage: Eukaryota; Metazoa; Chordata; Actinopteri; Scatophagidae. The transcript is spliced from 2 exons. The record is from RefSeq and is a predicted model, not a curated record.